UGACUGAGUGGCGGACGGGUGAGUAACGCGUGGGUAACCUGCCCUGUACAGGGGGACAACAGUUAGAAAUGACUGCUAAUACCGCAUAAGCGCACAGGACCGCAUGGCCCGGCGUGAAAAACUCCGGUGGUACAGGAUGGACCCGCGUCUGAUUAGGUAGUUGGCGGGGUAACGGCCCACCAAGCCGACGAUCAGUAGCCGACCUGAGAGGGUGACCGGCCACAUUGGGACUGAGACACGGCCCAAACUCCUACGGAAGGCAGCAG
Molecule: ribosomal RNA, 266 nt
Filed under: uncultured bacterium
Lineage: Bacteria
Description: partial 16S ribosomal RNA
Rfam family: Bacterial small subunit ribosomal RNA
Source: RNAcentral